CGGUGGAUGAUGUGGAUUAAUUCGAUGCAACGCGAAAACCUUACCUACCCUUGACAUGUCCGGAAUCCUGCAGAGAUGCGGGAGUGACCGAAAGGGAAUCGGAACACAGGUGCUGCAUGGCUGUCGUCAGCUCGUGUCGUGAGAUGUUGGGUUAAGUCCCGCAACGAGCGCAACCCUUAUCAUUAGUUGCUACGCAAGGGCACUCUAAUGAGACUGCCGGUGACAAACCGGAGGAAGGUGGGGAUGACGUCAAGUCCUCAUGGCCCUUAUGGGUAGGGCUUCACACGUCAUACAAUGGUCGGUACAGAGGGUUGCCAAGCCGCGAGGUGGAGCCAAUCCCAGAAAGCCGAUCGUAGUCCGGAUUGUUCUCUGCAACUCGAGAGCAUGAAGUCGGAAUCGCUAGUAAUCGCGGAUCAGCAUGUCGCGGUGAAUACGUUCCCGGGUCUU
This 447-nucleotide ribosomal RNA is filed under the name uncultured Thiobacillus sp. Its description in RNAcentral is "bacterial SSU rRNA". It matches the Rfam family "Bacterial small subunit ribosomal RNA", at positions 930 to 1382 of the family's 1533-position model. The record is from RNAcentral. Lineage: Bacteria; Pseudomonadati; Pseudomonadota; Betaproteobacteria; Nitrosomonadales; Thiobacillaceae.